GAGAGUAGACGCAGGCGGUUGCAGAUCAGUCAUAGUCACUGGUUUGAGGAAAGUCCGGACUCCCGAAAGACCAAACUUGCUGGAUAACGUCCAGUGCGAGCGAUCGUGAGGAUAGUGCCACAGAAAGAUACCGCCAAGAAUAGGGAAUAGGGAAUAGGGAAUAGGGAAUAGGGAAAGCAAAACCCCACUCCCCACUCACCACUCCCCACUCCCCAAUCUUUGGUAAGGGUGCAAAGGUGCGGUAAGAGCGCACCAGCAGUAUCGAGAGGUGCUGGCUCGGUAAACCCCGGUUGGGAGCAAGGCGAUAGGAACUACGGUUGGUCUUUUACCAGUUCCGCUCAAUGAGAGCCGCUAGAGGCGUCUGGUAACAGGCGUCCCAGAUAGAUAACUGCCCUCGCAAGAGAACAGAACCCGGCUUAUGUACUGCUCUCUCCC
Molecule: RNase P RNA, 435 nt
Filed under: Nostoc edaphicum CCNP1411
Lineage: Bacteria; Bacillati; Cyanobacteriota; Cyanophyceae; Nostocales; Nostocaceae
Description: RNase P RNA component class A
Rfam family: Bacterial RNase P class A
About the family: Ribonuclease P (RNase P) is a ubiquitous endoribonuclease, found in archaea, bacteria and eukarya as well as chloroplasts and mitochondria. Its best characterised activity is the generation of mature 5'-ends of tRNAs by cleaving the 5'-leader elements of precursor-tRNAs. Cellular RNase Ps are ribonucleoproteins.
Source: RNAcentral